AGAGUUUGAUCCUGGCUCAGGGUUAACGCUGGCGGUGCGCAUAACACAUGCAAGUCGAGCGAGGGCUUAUUUCCCCCAAGGGAGAUGAGUUCCUAGCGGCGAACGGGUGAGUAACACGUGGGCAACCUUUCCCAUCGCGGGGGAUAACAGCGGGAAACCGCUGCUAAUACCGCAUGUCGUCACCGGUCGCAUGGCCGGUGAAGAAAGCAGCAAUGCACGAUGGGAUGGGCCCGCGGCCUAUCAGCUAGUCGGUGGGGUAACGGCCUACCGAGGCGAUGACGGGUAGCUGGUCUGAGAGGACGACCAGCCACACGGGGACUGAGACACGGCCCCGACUCCUACGGGAGGCAGCAGUGAGGAAUCUUCCGCAAUGGGCGAAAGCCUGACGGAGCGACACCGCGUGUGGGAUGAAGUCUUUCGGGAUGUAAACCACUGUUGGAGGGGAAGACAUCGACGGUACCCUCCGAGAAAGCCCCGGCUAACUACGUGCCAGCCGCCGCGGUAAUAC
This 508-nucleotide ribosomal RNA is filed under the name uncultured bacterium. RNAcentral describes it as "bacterial SSU rRNA". It matches the Rfam family "Bacterial small subunit ribosomal RNA", at positions 8 to 526 of the family's 1533-position model. The record is from RNAcentral.